CAAGUCGAACGGGAAUCUUCGGAUUCUAGUGGCGGACGGGUGAGUAACGCGUAAGAAUCUAACUUCAGGACGGGGACAACAGUUGGAAACGACUGCUAAUACCCGAUGUGCCGAAAGGUGAAACCUAAUUGGCCUGAAGAAGAGCUUGCGUCUGAUUAGCUAGUUGGUGGGGUAAAGGCCUACCAAGGCGACGAUCAGUAGCUGGUCUGAGAGGAUGAGCAGCCACACUGGGACUGAGACACGGCCCAGACUCCUACGGGAGGCAGCAGUGGGGAAUUUUCCGCAAUGGGCGAAAGCCUGACGGAGCAACGCCGCGUGAGGGAGGAAGGUCUUUGGAUUGUAAACCUCUUUUCUCAAGGAAGAAGUUCUGACGGUACUUGAGGAAUCAGCCUCGGCUAACUCCGUGCCAGCAGCCGCGGUAAUACGGGGGAGGCAAGCGUUAUCCGGAAUUAUUGGGCGUAAAGCGUCCGCAGGUGGUCAGCCAAGUCUGCCGUCAAAUCAGGUUGCUUAACGACCUAAAGGCGGUGGAAACUGGCAGACUAGAGAGCAGUAGGGGUAGCAGGAAUUCCCAGUGUAGCGGUGAAAUGCGUAGAGAUUGGGAAGAACAUCGGUGGCGAAAGCGUGCUACUGGGCUGUAUCUGACACUCAGGGACGAAAGCUAGGGGAGCGAAAGGGAUUAGAUACCCCUGUAGUCCUAGCCGUAAACGAUGGAUACUAGGCAUGGCUUGUAUCGACCCGAGCCGUGCCGAAGCUAACGCGUUAAGUAUCCCGCCUGGGGAGUACGCACGCAAGUGUGAAACUCAAAGGAAUUGACGG
Molecule: ribosomal RNA, 816 nt
Filed under: uncultured bacterium
Lineage: Bacteria
Description: bacterial SSU rRNA
Rfam family: Bacterial small subunit ribosomal RNA
Source: RNAcentral